Molecule: ribosomal RNA, 1170 nt
Filed under: uncultured Bacteroides sp.
Lineage: Bacteria; Pseudomonadati; Bacteroidota; Bacteroidia; Bacteroidales; Bacteroidaceae
Description: bacterial SSU rRNA
Rfam family: Bacterial small subunit ribosomal RNA
Source: RNAcentral
AGUUUGAUCCUGGCUCAGGAUGAACGCUAGCUACAGGCUUAACACAUGCAAGUCGAGGGGCAGCAUGAACUUAGCUUGCUAAGUUUGAUGGCGACCGGCGCACGGGUGAGUAACACGUAUCCAACCUGCCGAUGACUCGGGGAUAGCCUUUCGAAAGAAAGAUUAAUACCCGAUGGCAUAGUUCUUCCGCAUGGUGGAACUAUUAAAGAAUUUCGGUCAUCGAUGGGGAUGCGUUCCAUUAGGUUGUUGGCGGGGUAACGGCCCACCAAGCCUUCGAUGGAUAGGGGUUCUGAGAGGAAGGUCCCCCACAUUGGAACUGAGACACGGUCCAAAUCCUACGGGAGGCAGCAGUGAGGAAUAUUGGUCAAUGGACGAGAGUCUGAACCAGCCAAGUAGCGUGAAGGAUGACUGCCCUAUGGGUUGUAAACUUCUUUUAUACGGGAAUAAAGUGAGGCACGUGUGCCUUUUUGUAUGUACCGUAUGAAUAAGGAUCGGCUAACUCCGUGCCAGCAGCCGCGGUAAUACGGAGGAUCCGAGCGUUAUCCGGAUUUAUUGGGUUUAAAGGGAGCGUAGGCGGACGCUUAAGUCAGUUGUGAAAGUUUGCGGCUCAACCGUAAAAUUGCAGUUGAUACUGGGUGUCUUGAGUACAGUAGAGGCAGGCGGAAUUCGUGGUGUAGCGGUGAAAUGCUUAGAUAUCACGAAGAACUCCGAUUGCGAAGGCAGCCUGCUGGACUGUAACUGACGCUGAUGCUCGAAAGUGUGGGUAUCAAACAGGAUUAGAUACCCUGGUAGUCCACACAGUAAACGAUGAAUACUCGCUGUUUGCGAUAUACAGUAAGCGGCCAAGCGAAAGCGUUAAGUAUUCCACCUGGGGAGUACGCCGGCAACGGUGAAACUCAAAGGAAUUGACGGGGGCCCGCACAAGCGGAGGAACAUGUGGUUUAAUUCGAUGAUACGCGAGGAACCUUACCCGGGCUUGAAUUGCAACUGAAUGAUGUGGAGACAUGUCAGCCGCAAGGCAGUUGUGAAGGUGCUGCAUGGUUGUCGUCAGCUCGUGCCGUGAGGUGUCGGCUUAAGUGCCAUAACGAGCGCAACCCUUAUCGAUAGUUACCAUCAGGUGAUGCUGGGGACUCUGUCGAGACUGCCGUCGUAAGAUGUGAGGAAGGUGGA